Molecule: long non-coding RNA, 243 nt
Organism: Oncorhynchus gorbuscha (pink salmon)
Lineage: Eukaryota; Metazoa; Chordata; Actinopteri; Salmoniformes; Salmonidae
Exons: 2
Source: RefSeq, a predicted model, not a curated record
GGGAGUCAACGGUGCAGUACCCUGACACAGACACAACUAGACCUGGAGGUCUGGAGAGGCAGAGAGGAGGGGAGUCAACGGUGCAGUACCCUGACACAGACACAACUAGACCUGGAGGUCUGGAGAGGCAGAGAGGAGGGGAGUCAACGGUGCAGUACCCUGACACAGACACAACUAGACCUGGAGGUCUGGAGAGGCAGAGAGGAGGGGAGUCAACGGUGCAGUACCCUGACACAGACACAA